CCUACGGGUGGCAGCAGUGGGGAAUAUUGCACAAUGGGGGAAACCCUGAUGCAGCGACGCCGCGUGAGUGAAGAAGUAUUUCGGAAUGUAAAGCUCUAUCAGCAGGGAAGAAAUAAAGUACUUCGGACUUUGGACGGUACAUGACUAAGAAGCCCCGGCUAACUACGUGCCAGCAGCCGCGGUAAUACGUAGGGGGCAAGCGUUAUCCGGCUUUACUGGGUGUAAAGGGAGCGUAGACGGUGGAGCAAGUCUGAUGUGAAAGGUCGGGGCCCAACCCCGGGACUGCAUUGGAUACUGUUGGACUGGAGUGCAGGAGAGGUAAGCGGAAUUCCUAGUGUAGCGGUGAAAUGCGUAGAUAUUAGGAGGAACACCAGUGGCGAAGGCAGCUUACUGAACUGUAACUGACGUUGAGGCUCGAAAGCGUGGGGAGCAAACAGGAUUAGAUACCCUGGUAGUC
This 457-nucleotide ribosomal RNA is filed under the name uncultured bacterium. Its description in RNAcentral is "partial 16S ribosomal RNA". It matches the Rfam family "Bacterial small subunit ribosomal RNA", at positions 338 to 795 of the family's 1533-position model. The record is from RNAcentral.